AGUGAACGCUGGCGGUAGGCCUAACACAUGCAAGUCGAACGGCAGCACAGUAAGAGCUUGCUCUUACGGGUGGCGAGUGGCGGACGGGUGAGGAAUACAUCGGAAUCUACUUUUUCGUGGGGGAUAACGUAGGGAAACUUACGCUAAUACCGCAUACGACCUACGGGUGAAAGCAGGGGAUCUUCGGACCUUGCGCGAUUGAAUGAGCCGAUGUCGGAUUAGCUAGUUGGCGGGGUAAAGGCCCACCAAGGCGACGAUCCGUAGCUGGUCUGAGAGGAUGAUCAGCCACACUGGAACUGAGACACGGUCCAGACUCCUACGGGCGGCAGCAGUGGGGAAUAUUGGACACUGGGCGCAAGCCUGAUCCAGCCAUACCGCGUGGGUGAAGAAGGCCUUCGGGUUGUACAGCCCUUUUGUUGGGAAAGAAAAGCAGCAGGUUAAUACCCCGCUGUUCUGACGGUACCCAAAGAAUAAGCACCGGCUAACCUCGUG
RNAcentral lists this ribosomal RNA (492 nucleotides) under uncultured bacterium. RNAcentral's name for it is "partial 16S ribosomal RNA". It matches the Rfam family "Bacterial small subunit ribosomal RNA", at positions 29 to 507 of the family's 1533-position model. The record is from RNAcentral.